GUCCUAGCCGUAAACGGUGCGCAUUUGCUGUGGGCGGAAUCGACCCCGUCCGUGGCGAAGCUAACGCGAUAAAUGCGCCGCCUGGGAAGUACGGUCGCAAGAUUAAAACUCAAAGAAAUUGACGGGGGCCUGCACAAGCGGUGGAGUAUGUGGCUUAAUUCGAUGCAACGCGAAGAACCUUACCUGGCCUUGACAUGCAGGUAGUAGAAGCCCGAAAGGGUGACGAGGUAGCAAUACCAGCUUGCACAGGUGCUGCAUGGCUGUCGU
RNAcentral lists this ribosomal RNA (267 nucleotides) under uncultured bacterium. RNAcentral's name for it is "partial 16S ribosomal RNA". It matches the Rfam family "Bacterial small subunit ribosomal RNA", at positions 793 to 1055 of the family's 1533-position model. The record is from RNAcentral.